RNAcentral lists this ribosomal RNA (2550 nucleotides) under Shigella sonnei. Its description in RNAcentral is "partial 23S ribosomal RNA". It matches the Rfam family "Bacterial large subunit ribosomal RNA", at positions 386 to 2915 of the family's 2925-position model. The record is from RNAcentral. Lineage: Bacteria; Pseudomonadati; Pseudomonadota; Gammaproteobacteria; Enterobacterales; Enterobacteriaceae.
AAAUGCACAUAUUGUGAGCUUGAUGAGUAGGGCGGGACACGUGGUAUCCUGUCUGAAUAUGGGGGGACCAUCCUCCAAGGCUAAAUACUCCUGACUGACCGAUAGUGAACCAGUACCGUGAGGGAAAGGCGAAAAGAACCCCGGCGAGGGGAGUGAAAAAGAACCUGAAACCGUGUACGUACAAGCAGUGGGAGCACGCUUAGGCGUGUGACUGCGUACCUUUUGUAUAAUGGGUCAGCGACUUAUAUUCUGUAGCAAGGUUAACCGAAUAGGGGAGCCGAAGGGAAACCGAGUCUUAACUGGGCGUUAAGUUGCAGGGUAUAGACCCGAAACCCGGUGAUCUAGCCAUGGGCAGGUUGAAGGUUGGGUAACACUAACUGGAGGACCGAACCGACUAAUGUUGAAAAAUUAGCGGAUGACUUGUGGCUGGGGGUGAAAGGCCAAUCAAACCGGGAGAUAGCUGGUUCUCCCCGAAAGCUAUUUAGGUAGCGCCUCGUGAAUUCAUCUCCGGGGGUAGAGCACUGUUUCGGCAAGGGGGUCAUCCCGACUUACCAACCCGAUGCAAACUGCGAAUACCGGAGAAUGUUAUCACGGGAGACACACGGCGGGUGCUAACGUCCGUCGUGAAGAGGGAAACAACCCAGACCGCCAGCUAAGGUCCCAAAGUCAUGGUUAAGUGGGAAACGAUGUGGGAAGGCCCAGACAGCCAGGAUGUUGGCUUAGAAGCAGCCAUCAUUUAAAGAAAGCGUAAUAGCUCACUGGUCGAGUCGGCCUGCGCGGAAGAUGUAACGGGGCUAAACCAUGCACCGAAGCUGCGGCAGCGACGCUUAUGCGUUGUUGGGUAGGGGAGCGUUCUGUAAGCCUGCGAAGGUGUGCUGUGAGGCAUGCUGGAGGUAUCAGAAGUGCGAAUGCUGACAUAAGUAACGAUAAAGCGGGUGAAAAGCCCGCUCGCCGGAAGACCAAGGGUUCCUGUCCAACGUUAAUCGGGGCAGGGUGAGUCGACCCCUAAGGCGAGGCCGAAAGGCGUAGUCGAUGGGAAACAGGUUAAUAUUCCUGUACUUGGUGUUACUGCGAAGGGGGGACGGAGAAGGCUAUGUUGGCCGGGCGACGGUUGUCCCGGUUUAAGCGUGUAGGCUGGUUUUCCAGGCAAAUCCGGAAAAUCAAGGCUGAGGCGUGAUGACGAGGCACUACGGUGCUGAAGCAACAAAUGCCCUGCUUCCAGGAAAAGCCUCUAAGCAUCAGGUAACAUCAAAUCGUACCCCAAACCGACACAGGUGGUCAGGUAGAGAAUACCAAGGCGCUUGAGAGAACUCGGGUGAAGGAACUAGGCAAAAUGGUGCCGUAACUUCGGGAGAAGGCACGCUGAUAUGUAGGUGAAGUCCCUUGCGGAUGGAGCUGAAAUCAGUCGAAGAUACCAGCUGGCUGCAACUGUUUAUUAAAAACACAGCACUGUGCAAACACGAAAGUGGACGUAUACGGUGUGACGCCUGCCCGGUGCCGGAAGGUUAAUUGAUGGGGUCAGCGCAAGCGAAGCUCUUGAUCGAAGCCCCGGUAAACGGCGGCCGUAACUAUAACGGUCCUAAGGUAGCGAAAUUCCUUGUCGGGUAAGUUCCGACCUGCACGAAUGGCGUAAUGAUGGCCAGGCUGUCUCCACCCGAGACUCAGUGAAAUUGAACUCGCUGUGAAGAUGCAGUGUACCCGCGGCAAGACGGAAAGACCCCGUGAACCUUUACUAUAGCUUGACACUGAACAUUGAGCCUUGAUGUGUAGGAUAGGUGGGAGGCUUUGAAGUGUGGACGCCAGUCUGCAUGGAGCCGGCCUUGAAAUACCACCCUUUAAUGUUUGAUGUUCUAACGUGGACCCGUGAUCCGGGUUGCGGACAGUGUCUGGUGGGUAGUUUGACUGGGGCGGUCUCCUCCUAAAGAGUAACGGAGGAGCACGAAGGUUGGCUAAUCCUGGUCGGACAUCAGGAGGUUAGUGCAAUGGCAUAAGCCAGCUUGACUGCGAGCGUGACGGCGCGAGCAGGUGCGAAAGCAGGUCAUAGUGAUCCGGUGGUUCUGAAUGGAAGGGCCAUCGCUCAACGGAUAAAAGGUACUCCGGGGAUAACAGGCUGAUACCGCCCAAGAGUUCAUAUCGACGGCGGUGUUUGGCACCUCGAUGUCGGCUCAUCACAUCCUGGGGCUGAAGUAGGUCCCAAGGGUAUGGCUGUUCGCCAUUUAAAGUGGUACGCGAGCUGGGUUUAGAACGUCGUGAGACAGUUCGGUCCCUAUCUGCCGUGGGCGCUGGAGAACUGAGGGGGGCUGCUCCUAGUACGAGAGGACCGGAGUGGACGCAUCACUGGUGUUCGGGUUGUCAUGCCAAUGGCACUGCCCGGUAGCUAAAUGCGGAAGAGAUAAGUGCUGAAAGCAUCUAAGCACGAAACUUGCCCCGAGAUGAGUUCUCCCUGACCCUUUAAGGGUCCUGAAGGAACGUUGAAGACGACGACGUUGAUAGGCCGGGUGUGUAAGCGCAGCGAUGCGUUGAGCUAACCGGUACUAAUGAACCGUGAGG